Long non-coding RNA from Pogona vitticeps (central bearded dragon), 1611 nucleotides. Lineage: Eukaryota; Metazoa; Chordata; Lepidosauria; Squamata; Agamidae. The record is from Ensembl.
CGUCGUCGUCGUCCGGCUCUGCUCCUCGGUGGACAUCCUAGUCAGCAGGACGGGAGAGGCACAUGGAUUCGGAGCGGGGCGACGCUGAGGACGGGGAUGGGGGCGAGGAGGGCGAUCCCGACCCAAGCCUCUCUCGGCGGUUGGUGGCGGGUGGCGGCGGUGGCGGCGGUUGGCGGCUCCUGCUGUCGCCGCGCUUCUUCUCCUUCUCCUCCUCCUCCGCCUCCGUCUUCUUUCCUUCUACCUCCGCCUCGCAUUGCUGGCCUCCGCCGCCGCGGACCAGCGCGCAGGAGGCAAAGACAACGACGACGAGGCUCGCCGCGACGAACUCCGCUCCUCCUUCUCCUCUCCCUCCCCUCAGACAGGGCCCCACACACUGCGCCCGCCGAAAGUGCCCGCCCACCGGCCCGCCCUUUUUCUCAGCGCAGACAUCUCAUUCGACGCCCCGCCCUCUCCGCUGACCUCACAGCCUCUGCUGGCAGCAGCCGCGGCUGUGGUGGCGACGGUGGAGAGGUCGGCUUGAAACUGUGGAGCCCCGGAAUCCCGCGGACGGGACGAGCGCGUCGCUCCACGGACUGAGCUCUGCGAGGAGGAGCGUCUCUCCGUGUGUGUGUGUGUACAGUAUAUGUGUAUGCGCGCGCGCGCGCCUGUGCGGGCACGAGCGCGCGUUUUGGGGAGUGGGGGAGCUUCAGGUGCGUUUGCCCAGUUGGUUGAAUUGCGCACCUUUCCGGAAGAAGGGGGAGUGGGUGUGGAGAUACAGCGGGGCGUGUCUUGUAGUGCUGUCAUGAUGUGCUGUACACACUUGUGAGCCAGGGUAUUCUCUGCAACGACGUGAAUGGCACCAACCCCACCUCCCUCCCUUCUGUUGUUGUUGUGUGCUCUCUAGUAUGCUCUGAUUUAUGGCGACCCUAUGGAUGAGCAUUCUCCAGAAUGUUCUGCCCUUCUCAGCUCUUGCAAACUCAAGUCUGUGAGUCCUUUGGGGAGUCAACGCACCUGGCCUUCCUCUUUUCCUGCUGCCUUCAGUGUUGCGCAGCAUUAUUGUCUUUUCCAAAGAAUCCUGCCCAACGUACUUAGUUCUAGAGGGAAUGCAAGCUUGAUUUGAUCUAGGACCCACUUAUUAAUCUUUCUAGCGGUCCAGAAUAUCCACACAACUCUCCUCCAAGACCAUAGUUCGAACUACAGUAAUCAAUUUUCCCCCUGUCAGCUUUUACUGUCCAGUUUCCACACCGGUACAUGGUGAUCUGGAAUGGAAGAGGGUGGAUGGGUUUGAUCUCCAAUGACACAUCCUUACACUGGAUGAUCUUUUCUAGUUCCCUUCCCAGUCUCCUGUGGGAAAAGAAAGGAAAACCCAUGUACAGAUAGAUACACAAGCAUGCACUUUUCUCUUUCUCUUUUCACACCCGUGCAGAAUAUAAUCGGUGGGAUGGUGUUAUUUGGAUCUAGUUCAACUAAAGCCAAACUGAACUGUUGGAAAAGUUGUGCUCUCUAUAAUGUUUAAACGGCGUCUUCCCACCUCCGUGGAAACGAUUGAUUGUAUUUUUAUCCCAAGAAUUGAGACUCGUAUACCAAAUUUUAUUAAAUAAACCAGUUGUGACAUGUUAUUUGUUGGUUUAU